RNAcentral lists this ribosomal RNA (483 nucleotides) under uncultured bacterium. RNAcentral describes it as "partial 16S ribosomal RNA". It matches the Rfam family "Bacterial small subunit ribosomal RNA", at positions 28 to 507 of the family's 1533-position model. The record is from RNAcentral.
GACGAACGCUGGCGGCGUGCUUAACACAUGCAAGUCGAACGAUGAAGCGGGUGCUUGCACUCGUGGAUUAGUGGCGAACGGGCGAGUAACACGUGAGUAACCUGUCCUUUUCUUUGGGAUAACGGCUGGAAACGGCUGCUAAUACUGGAUAUUCAGGCUGUAUCGCAUGGUGUGGUUUGGAAAGGUUUUUUCUGGGAUUGGGUGGGCUCGCGGCCUAUCAGCUUGUUGGUGGGGUGAUGGCUUACCAAGGCUUUGACGGGUAGCCGGCCUGAGAGGGUGGUCGGUCGCACUGGGACUGAGAUACGGCCCAGACUCCUACGGGAGGCAGCAGUGGGGAAUAUUGCACAAUGGACGAAAGUUUGAUGCAGCGACGCCGCGUGGAGGGUGUAGGCCUUCGGGUUGUGAACUCCUUUUUCUCGCGAAAAAGGCACAGUUUUGGCUGUGUUGAUGGUAGUGGGGGAAGAAGCGCCGGCUAACUACGUG